RNAcentral lists this ribosomal RNA (497 nucleotides) under uncultured bacterium. RNAcentral describes it as "partial 16S ribosomal RNA". It matches the Rfam family "Bacterial small subunit ribosomal RNA", at positions 28 to 507 of the family's 1533-position model. The record is from RNAcentral.
GAUGAACGCUGGCGGCGUGCCUAAUACAUGCAAGUCGAGCGAACAGAUGAGGAGCUUGCUCCUCUGACGUUAGCGGCGGACGGGUGAGUAACACGUGGAUAACCUACCUAUAAGACUGGGAUAACUUCGGGAAACCGGAGCUAAUACCGGAUAAUAUAUUGAACCGCAUGGUUCAAUAGUGAAAGACGGUUUUGCUGUCACUUAUAGAUGGAUCCGCGCCGCAUUAGCUAGUUGGUAAGGUAACGGCUUUCCAAGGCAACGAUGCGUAGCCGACCUGAGAGGGUGAUCGGCCACACUGGAACUGAGACACGGUCCAGACUCCUACGGGGGGCAGCAGUAGGGAAUCUUCCGCAAUGGGCGAAAGCCUGACGGAGCAACGCCGCGUGAGUGAUGAAGGUCUUCGGAUCGUAAAACUCUGUUAUUAGGGAAGAACAAAUGUGUAAGUAACUAUGCACGUCUUGACGGUACCUAAUCAGAAAGCCACGGCUAACUACGUG